GAAAGCUUUUAGAAAUGAAAAUUAUACAAAAAUUAGGCUAUCAAUGCUAAAGACUUCUUUUUUGUUACUACUAACUGAAAUACAUUUAUAUCUUCUAUCAGUAUAAAAAUCGUCAUUGUAAUGGGUAGUACAACAUGAAUAUUUUCUUUAACUGAAUGUAUUCACAUUUUCAAUACAGAGCCAUUUCCAGCAAGUCUCAUCAGUCUAUGCCUUUCUCUUUCGUGAAGUUCCAUUAAGUUCUGAAGUGGGUACUUGCAGCAAUUGCUGCUGCUGCUGCUGCUGCUUCUUCGCGGUAGAGGAGAUCCAUUCUUCUGAGCUAGACAAAAACAUAGCACAGUACCUUAUAAACCAAGCCUUUUCUAUAUUUUUUAUAUAUAUUUGAUAUAAUUGAUGCAAAAGCACAGAGCUCCCACUAGUAUAAAAAUUAUAAACCCCCAUAUUUAUGUACAGUUUCUUAUUCUUGGAAUUGUUUUGUUGAAAUGAGGAAUAGCAUCAGGCUAAUACUAGAUGGUUUAAGUAUAUAACCAGUUAAGUUCUACAUGUGGAUAAAAAAAUUAACAACAAAUAUAAAGAGACAUAGUAAUAUAGUAAAAACUAGUUCUGAGAUUUAGAGAACACAAGUACUAAGAUUUAAAUAGUCUCAAAAAUAUGACCACAGUUCAGCAGCAACAAUGGUGUUGCUGAGGAGAGACAUGAGAAAUGGAAAAGUCAGUUCCAUGCCAUCUUGAAGAUACAGACUUACAGAUUUCCCUGAUACUUUUUUUGGGUGUACCAAUGCUCAGUAGCCACAGAGGCAAUAUAGAACUAUGUGCCCACAGGUAAAGAUAACUGUCUUAAAUACUUUAACAUCAGCUCACCUCAGACAGUUACUUAGAAAAAGUUAUACAAGAAUGAUUCUUUCUCUGUUCAUCUGUCUAGUAUUUGACAUCACACCUUAAAAAAAUUUACAGACCAAGCCAUCUCAACUAUUUCUGGGGUGUAACAGAGUUGAAUACAUGGGGAAUGCGAAUGAUGCCAAUCAAUCAGUUCAAACAGAGAAACAGAGUUAGCAAGCAAAUCUUCGUAUCGAAGAUUUGUAUUUGUAUAUUAAAUAACAGCAGAAACUUUAAAGGAAAUAAAAAUUACCUUGAAAAUCAGCCUUACAACUUACUUGUUGGUUGCUGUAUAUAAAUAUGCUUUUAAAAAAAUUAUAUAUCUCCCAUGCAAAAAAAAAA
RNAcentral lists this long non-coding RNA (1214 nucleotides) under Strigops habroptila (Kakapo). Its description in RNAcentral is "lncRNA (ENSSHBG00005009838.1)". Lineage: Eukaryota; Metazoa; Chordata; Aves; Psittaciformes; Psittacidae. The record is from RNAcentral.